Molecule: transfer RNA, 72 nt
Filed under: Salmo salar (Atlantic salmon)
Lineage: Eukaryota; Metazoa; Chordata; Actinopteri; Salmoniformes; Salmonidae
Rfam family: tRNA
About the family: Transfer RNA (tRNA) molecules are approximately 80 nucleotides in length. Their secondary structure includes four short double-helical elements and three loops (D, anti-codon, and T loops). Further hydrogen bonds mediate the characteristic L-shaped molecular structure. tRNAs have two regions of fundamental functional importance: the anti-codon, which is responsible for specific mRNA codon recognition, and the 3' end, to which the tRNAs corresponding amino acid is attached (by aminoacyl-tRNA synthetases). tRNAs cope with the degeneracy of the genetic code in two manners: having more than one tRNA (with a specific anti-codon) for a particular amino acid; and 'wobble' base-pairing, i.e. permitting non-standard base-pairing at the 3rd anti-codon position.
Source: Rfam by way of RNAcentral
UCCCAUAUAGCUCAGUUGGUAGAGCAUAGCACUUGCAACACCUGGAUUGUGGGUUCAAUUCCCACAGGGGAC